Molecule: long non-coding RNA, 12647 nt
Filed under: Eucalyptus grandis
Lineage: Eukaryota; Viridiplantae; Streptophyta; Magnoliopsida; Myrtales; Myrtaceae
Description: long non-coding RNA (EGRA_LNC004026)
Source: RNAcentral
AAGCGUUCCUUGCAAAGUGCUAUGGAACAAUCAUGUUCCCAGCGAUUCCAUUGUUGGUUCCCACCGAUUCCUUUCAAAAAAUGUGGAGGUUAAAAAUUGUCCAUCCUUGAAAUCGUUGUUUGAUUUUGGGUCCCUAGAUUCAAAUACGAAACAAAAGGCGGUAUUGCUCCCUGAAUUGGUAAGCAUCGACGUGGAAAGCUGUCCCUCCUUGGAAUCGUUAUUUAAUUGUAGGUCCCUUGAUUCAAAUGUAGAACACAAAAUUAUAUUGCUCCCCAAAUUGGAGAAAGUGAGGGUGAGUGGAGCAAAAAAGCUGAGACACAUGGUCAUGAGCCACUCCCAAAUAGUUUUGGGUUUUCCUAGUCUUGAAAUUGUCAGUGUUGAGGAUUGCUCUGACUUGAGAUAUCUCUUCCCUAAUUAUACGGCCACAACUUUGGAGAAACUUCAACGGCUAACAAUUAGUAAAUGCGAACAGAUGAAGGAAGUGAUUCUCGAGAAAGAAGCUGGUCCAUCAGAGGCAAAAGGGAUGAGUUUCCCUUGCUUAAGUAACUUAACACUUCAGGAGCUCGAUAACCUGAUUAGUUUCAGUUCAGGAAGUGUAAAGAGGCAGUCAAGCGAGAAAGCCGAAGAAAAUGAUCAAUCGCCACAACCCUUGUUCAAUGAGAUGGUUCGUUUUAUUCUUUGAUGUGAUCAUUCGUAUUCUCACAUUAUCAUGUUUUAUAAUGAAGAAUGUAAUAAAUUUGUCCAACUUAUCCUCUUUCCUCACAUUAUCCUUGUGUAGGUCACAUUUCCCAAUAUGAGAGAUUUAGAAAUUGAAGGCGUUCCUUGCAAAGUGCUAUGGAACAAUCAUGUUCCCACCGAUUCCAUUGUUUGUUCCCACCGAUUCCUUUCAAAAAAUGUCAAGGUUAAAAAUUGUCCAUCCUUGAAAUCAUUGUUUGAUUUUGGGUCCCUAGAUUCAAAUACCGAACAGAACGGAGUAUUGCUCCCUGAAUUGGUAAGCAUCGAUGUGGAAAGCUGUCCCUCCUUGGAAUCGUUAUUUAAUUGUAGGUCCCUAGAUUCAAAUGCGGAACACAAAAUUAUAUUGCUCCCCAAAUUGGAGAAAGUAAGGGUGAGUGGAGCAAAAAAGCUGAGACAUGUUAUGAUGAGCCCCUCCCAAAUAGUUUUGGGUUUUCCUAAUCUUGAAACUGUUAGGGUUGAGAAUUGCUCUAACUUGGGAUAUCUCUUCCCUAAUUAUACGGCCACAACUUUGGCGAAACUUCAGUGGCUAAUAAUUAGUAAAUGCGAACAGAUGAAGGAAGUGAUUCUUGAGAAUGAAGCUGGUCCAUCAGAGGCAAAAGUGGUGAAUUUUCCUUGCUUAAGUAACUUAACACUUCAGGGGCUCGAUGACCUGAUUAGUUUCAGUUCAGGAAGUGUCAAGAGGCAGCUAAGUGAGAUAGCUGAGGAAAAUGACGAAUCGCCACAACCGCUGUUCAAUGAGAUGGUUUGUUCUAUUCUUUAUUAUGAUCAUUCAUAUUCUCGCAUUAUCAUGUUUUAUAAUGAAUAAUGUAAUAAAUUUGUCCAACUUAUCCUCCUUUCUCACAUUAUCCUUGUGCAGGUCACAUUUCCCAAUAUGAGAGAUUUAGAAAUUGAAGGCGUUCCUUGCAAAGUGCUAUGGAACAAUCAUGUUCCCACCGAUUCUAUUGUUGGUUCCCACCGAUUCUUUUCAAAAUAUGUCAAGGUUAAAGAUUGUCCAUCCUUGAAAUCGUUGUUCAAUUUUGGAUCCUUAGAUUCAAAUACGAAACAAAAUGCAGUAUUGCUCCCUGAAUUGGUAAGCAUCGAUGUGGAAAGCUGUCCCUCCUUGGAAUCGUUAUUUAAUUGUAGGUUCCUUGAUUCAAAUGUGGAACACAAAAUGAUAUUGCUCCCCAAAUUGGAGAGAAUGAGGGUGAGUGGAGCGAAAAAGCUGAGACACGUGGUCAUGAGCGACUCUCAAAUAGUUUUGGGUUUUCCUAGUCUUGAAACUAUUAGGGUUGAGAAUUGCUUUGACUUAAGAUAUCUCUUCCUUAACUAUACGGCCACAACUUUGGAGAAACUUGAGUGGUUAACAAUUAGUAAAUGCGAACAGAUGAAGGAAGUGAUUCUUGUGAAAGAAGCUGGUCCAUCAGAGGCAAAAGUGAUGAGUUUCCCUUGCUUAAGUUACUUAGCACUUCAGGGGCUUGAUAACCUGAUUAGUUUCAGUUCAGGAAGUAUACAGAGGCAGUCAAGCGAGACAACCGAAGAAAAUGAUCAAUUGCCACAACCCUUGUUCAAUGAGAUGGUUUGUUCUAUUCUUUACUGUGAUCAUUCGUAUUCUCACACUAACAUGUUUUAUAAUGAAGAUUGUAAUAAAUUUGUCCAACUUAUCCUCCUUUCUCACAUUAUCCUUGUGCAGGUCACAUUUCCCAAUAUGAGAUAUUUAGAAAUUGAAGGCGUUCCGUGUAAAGUGCUAUGGAACAAUCAUGUUCCCACCGAUUCCAUUGUUUGUUCCCACCGAUUCCUUUCAAAAAAUGUCGAGGUUAAAAAUUGUCCAUCCUUGAAAUUGUUGUUUGAUUUUGGGUCCCUAGAUUCAAAUACGAAACAAAAUGCAGUAUUGCUCCCUGAAUUGGUAAGCAUCUACGUGGAAAGUUGUCCCUCCUUGGAAUCAUUAUUUAACUGCAGGUCCCUUGAUUCGAAUAUGGAACACAAAAUUAUAUUGCUUCCCAAAUUGGAGAGAAUGAUGGUGAGUGGAGCAAAAAAGCUGAGACACGUUGUCAUGAGCGACUCUCAAAUAGUUUUGGGUUUUCCUAGUCUUGAAACUAUCAUGGUUGAGAAGUGCUCUGACUUGGGAUAUCUCUUCCCUAAUUCUACGGCCACAACUUUGGAGAAACUUGAGUUGCUAACAAUUAGUAAAUGCGAACAGAUGAAGGAAGUGAUUCUUGAGAAAGAAGCUGAUCCAUCAGAGGCAAAAGUGAUGAGUUUCCCUUGCUUAAGUUACUUAACACUUCUGGGGCUCGAUAACCUGAUUAGUUUCAGUUUAGGAAGUGUCAAGAGGCAGCUAGGCGAGACAGUCGAAGAAAAUGAUGAAUCACCACAACCGUUGUUCAAUGAGAUGGUUUGUUCUAUUCUUUAUUGUGGUCAUUCAUAUUCUCACAUUAUCAUGUUUUUUUUUUUUUGGUAAAGUUAUCAUGUUUUAUAAUGAAGAAUGUAAUAAAUUUGUCUAGCUUAUCCUCCUUUCUCACAUUAUUCUUGUGCAGGUCACAUUUCCCAAUAUGAGAUAUUUAGAAAUUGAAGGCGUUCCUUGCAAAGUGCUAUGGAACAAUCAUGUUCCCACCGAUUCCAUUGUUGGUUCCCACCAAUUCCUUUCAGAAUAUGUCGAGGUUAAAAAUUGUCCUUCCUUGAAAUCGUUGUUUGAUUUUGGGUCACUAGAUUCAAAUACGGAACAAAAUGCAGUAUUGCUCCCUGAAUUGGUAAGCAUCUACGUGGAAAGCUGUCCCUCCUUGGAAUUAUUAUUUAAUUGUAGGUCCCUUGAUUCAAAUGUGGAACACAAAAUUAUAUUGCUCCCCAAAUUGGAGACAAUGACGGUGAGUGGAGCAGAAAAGCUGAGACACGUUGUUAUGAGCUACUCUCAAAUAGUUUUGGGUUUUCCUAGUCUUGAAACUGUCAGAGUUGAGAAUUGCUCUAACUUGGGAUAUCUCUUCCCUAAUUAUACGGCCACAACUUUGGAGAAACUUGAGUGGCUAACAAUUAGUAAAUGCGAACAGAUGAAGGAAGUGAUUCUUGAGAAAGAAGUUGGUUCAUCAGAGGCAAAAGUGAUGAGUUUCCCUUGCUUAAGUAACUUAACACUUCAGGGGCUCGAUAACCUGAUUAGUUUCAGUUCAGGAAGUGUCAAGAGGCAGCUAGGCGAGACAGCCAAAGAAAAUGAUGAAUUGCCACAACCGCUAUUCAAUGAGAUGGUUUGUUCUAUUCUUUAAUGUGAUCAUUCGUAUUCUCACAUUAUCAUGUUUUAUAAUGAAGAAUGUAAUAAAUUUGUCCAACUUAUCCUCGUUUCUCACAUUAUCCUUGUGCAGGUCACAUUUCCCAAUAUGAGAGAUUUAAAAAUUGAAGGCGUUCCAUGCAAAGUGCUAUGGAACAAUCAUGUUCCCACCGAUUCCAAUAUUUGUUCCCACCGAUUCCUUUCAAAAAAUGUCAAGGUUAAAAAUUGUCCAUCAUUGAAAUCGUUGUUUGAUUUUAGGUUCCUAGAUUCAAAUACGGAACAAAAGGCGAUAUUGCUCCCUGAAUUGGUAAGCAUCGACGUGGAAAGCUGUCCCUCGGAAUCAUUGUUUAAUUGUGGGUCCCUUAAUUCAAAUGUGGAACACAAAAUUAUAUUUCUCCCAAAAUUGGUGAAAGUGAGGGUGAGUGGAGCAAAAAAGCUAAGACACGUUGUCAUGAGCAACUCCCAAAUAGUUUUGGGUUUUCCUAGUCUUGUAACUGUCAUGGUUGAGAAUUGCUCUGACUUGGGAUAUCUCUUCCCUACUUAUACAACCACAACUUUGGAGAAACUUGAGUGGCUAACAAUUAGUAAAUGUGAACAUAUGAAGGAAGUGAUUCUCGAGAAAGAAGCUAGUCUAUCAGAGGCAAAAGUGAUGAGUUUCCCUUGCUUAAGUUAUUUAACACUUCAGGGGCUCGAUAACCUGAUUAGUUUUGGUUCAGGAAGUUGUUCAUAUUAUUUUUCCUCCUUAAAAGAUCUAAGAAUUGUGGGGUGCUAUAACUUUGGAACGUUCAUCCCGAGUCCCACAAGUGUCAAGAGGCAGCGAGGCAAGAUGGCCGAAGAAAAUGAUGAAUCGCCACAACCGCUAUUCAAUGAGAUGGUUUGUUCUACUCUUUAUUGUGAUCAUUCGUAUUAUGGCUUUAUCAUUUAUAAUAAGAAUGUAAUAAAUUUGUUCUACUUAUCCUCCUUUUUCACGUUAUCCUCAUGUAGGUUACAUUUCCUAUUAUAACAAGUCUCAAAAUUGAGGGCCUUUGGUGCAAAGAGUUAUGGAACAAUCAAAUUCCCACAGAUUCCUUUCAGAAGUUGGAAUCUCUUGAAUUGAAUAACUGUGACUAUCUCCAACAUAUUGCCACUUCGUAUAUGUGGAAGAAGCUACAACGCUGUCUCGAGAAACUAGAAGUGAUUUCAUGCCGUUUGAUCGAGAUCAUAUACGAAGGUAUUGGGAUGGAUGUAGAGAGUGGUAGAUUGAGGAGGCUGGUUUUGCGUGAUCUUGAAAACUUGAGGGGCAUUUGGCAGUUCGACAGUCUCCCAAACAUCCCAUUCCCAAAUUUGAGAGACAUAGAGGUUGUGAGGUGCCCUCGUUUGGAAAUGCUUUUCCCUACCUUCACAGCGAAAUUUCUCGGGCAAAUCGAAAAGCUGGUGGUGGAGUCAUGUGAAGAUAUGAAACAAAUUGCUAGCUAUGAAAAAUGGGAAGAAGGGACCUGCACCACAAUCACCUUCUCUAAGUUAACUACUCUUAGAGUCUUCAAGUUGCCGAAAUUCAGGAGCUUCUUACCUGAGAAAUACUCUCUGAAAUUGCCGUGCUCCAAGGACUUCCCAUCCUUGCAAGUCUUGAGUAUAGAAAGUUGUGGAGCAAAGCCGGACCAAGUCCUUGGUAAUUGGGGAUUCCACGAAAUGGAACCAAAUUCACAUGCAUUUAUAGAACUCCAGGUAUUCCUUUAAUAUUUCAUUUCUUUGGUUUGGCUCUCUGUUCCUUUGAAUAGAAAAUCAAUUUAUAUUAGCUAAAACACAAUUCUUAGUGGGACCCACACAUACUUUGGUCCUCUCUCUCUCUCUGUGUCUCUCUCUCUCUCUGGGUGCGUUUGGCAACUUGCCAAAUAGUAACAAUUUCUAUUCUCGUGUUCCUGGAAGUAGAUUUGGAACGGAAAUUGAUUUAGUAAAAUUUUUAUUACCGAAAACAAAUUUCUAUUUUUUGUUCCCAAAAAUAUAUUUUUAACAAAAUUAAGAAAUAAAAAAAAGAUGUUUCUUUGUUCCAGAGAACAAUUUUAGAAUCAAGCCAACUCAUUUUUUUCUCUUUACUCUUCUUUCUUCUUGUUCUUAUUACCUCUCUUCUCUUCUUCAGUUGCACCAUCCAUUGUCCCUGAACACCAGCGAUCUCACCAGGCCAAGGCAAGGUCCGACGAGCUCGAGAUGUUUGAAGCGUGCAACCCGAGUCCGAGAAGUGUCAAGAGGCAACUAGGCAAGAUGGCCGAAGAAAAUGAUGAAUCGCCACAACCGCUGUUCAUUGAGAUGGUUCGUUUUAUUCUUUACUUCUAUUCUUUACUGUGAUCAUUCGUAUUCUUGCAUUAUCAUGUUUUAUAAUGAAGAAUGUAAUGAAUUUGUCCUACUUAUCCUCUGCUCUCACCUUAUCCUUGUGCAAGUCACAUUUCCCAAUAUAAGAUAUCUAAAAAUUGAGGACGUUCAAUGCAAAGAGCUAUGGAAUAAUCAUGCUCCUGCCGAUUACAUCGUUUGUUCCCACCAAUUCCUUUUAUUUGAGGUUAAAAAUUGUCCAUCUUUGAAAUCGUUGUUUGAUUUUGGGUCUCUAGAUUCAAAUACCGAACAAAAGGCGGUAUUGCUCCCUGAAUUGGUAAGCAUCGACGUGGAAAGCCGUCCCUCCUUGGAAUCGUUGUUUAAUUAUGGGUCCCUUGAUUCAAAUACGGAACACAAAGUUAUAUUGCUUCCCAGAUUGGAGAGAGUGAGGGCGAGUGGAGCAAAAAAGCUGAGACACGUGGUCAUGAACCGCUCCUAAAUAGUUUUGGGUUUUCAUAGUCUUGAAAUUUUCAGUGUUGAGGAUUGCUCUAACUUGAGAUAUCUCUUCCCUAAUUAUACGACCACAACUUUGGAGAAACUUCAAAGGCUAACAAUUAGUAAAUGCGAACAGAUGAAGGAAGUGAAUCUCGAGAAAGAAGCUGGUCCAUCAGAGGCAAAAGUGAUGAGUUUCCCUUGCUUAAGUUACUUAGCACUUCAGGGGCUUGAUAACCUGAUUAGUUUCAGUUCAGGAAGUGUAAAGAGGUAGUCAAGCGAGACAGCCGAAGAAAAUGAUGAAUCGCCACAACCGCUGUUCAAUGAGAUGGUUCGUUCUACUCUUUACUGUGAUCAUUCGUAUUCUUAUAUUAUCAUAUUUUAUAAUAAAGAAUGUAAUAAAUUUCUCCAACUUAUCCUCCUUUGUCAUAAUAUCCUUGUGCAGGUCACAUUUCCCAAUAUGAGAAAUUUAGAAAUUGAAGGCGUUCCAUGCAAAGUGUUAUGGAACAAUCAUGUUCCCACCGAUUCCAUUGUUUGUUCCUACUGAUUCCAUUCAAAAACUGUCGAGGUUAAAAAUUGUCCAUCCUUGAAAUCGUUGUUUGAUUUUGGGUCCCUAGAUUCACAUAUGAAACAAAAGGCAGUAUUGCUCCCUGAAUUGGUAAGCAUCGACGGUGGAAAGCUGUCCCUCGGAAUCGUUGUUUAAUUUUGUGUCCUUUGAUUCAAAUGGGGAACAAAAAAUUAUAUUGCUCCCAAAAUUGGAGAAAGUGAGGGUGAGUGGAGCAAAAAAGCUAAGACACGUUGUCAUGAGCCACUCCCAAAUAGUUUUGGGUUUUGCUAGUCUUGACACUGUCAGGGUGGAGAAUUGCUCUAACUUGGGAUAUCCCUUCCCUAGUUAUAUGGCCACAACUUUGGAGAAACUUUAGUGGCUAACGAUUAGAAAAUGCGAACAGCUGAAGGAAGUGAUUCUCAAGAAAGAAGCUAGUCCAUUAGAGGCAAAAGUGAUGGGUUUCCCUUUCUUAAGUAACUUAACACUUCAGGGUCUCGAUAACCUGAUUAGUUUCUGUUCAAGAAGUGUCAAGAGACAGCUAGGGGAGACAGCCGAAGAAAAUGAUGAAUCGCAAUAACCGCUGUUCAAUGAGAUGGUUUGUUCUAUUUUUUACUGUGAUCAUUCGUAUUCUCACAUUAUCAUGUUUUAUAAUGACGAAAGUAAUAAAUUUGUCCAACUUGACCUCCUUUCUCACAUUAUCCUUGUGCAGGCCACAUUUCCCAAUAUGAGAGACUUAGAAAUUGAAGGCGUUCCUUGCAAAGUGCUAUGGAACAAUCAUGUUCCCACCGAUACCUUUCGAAAAAUGUUGAGGAUAAAAAUUGUCCAUCCUUGAUAUUGUUUUUCGAUUUUGGGUUGUGGCAUCCUAGAAUUUCAUGACAACCUCUAGAUGUGCUAUGAACCAUGGAUAGGUGAUGGAAGUACCAUCAAGUUAUGUUGUAGCCAUUUGAUCCAUAAUUUGCAAUAAGAUUAAGGCCAAGCUUUUCAAUGGAUAAUUAUUUGAUAGGAAAGAAAUUCUAUUCUUGGCCAUGUGUUUUAUAAGUUGAAAUUUAUUUAUUUAUGAUGCAAAGUUUUAUGGCCAAUUGAAUAAGUGUAAUUAUGUAUUUAUAUAAGUGGGGAUUUAGAAUAGAUUAUUAAAAGAGGAAGUGGGCCAAAAUUCUUAGGCCAAGACCAGCCCACAAGAGCCCCACCGUUCGGCCAUUAGGGCCUGGCCCGCGAAGCCCAAAAGGGAAGGGGCUGCUGUCGUCCGAAGGAGGGAGAGGCCCGGCCCAAGGGAGGCCCAUCAACCUGCAUGUAAAUCCCCAAGUGGCAAGAGAAGCUUGCCAAUUGUUAGUCCAUUGUAGCCAAGUGGCAAUUACCUUGCAAAAUCAAAUGAUUGCUAAUGAUGAGGGGGAAGGAAAAGAGGAGAGGCGGAUUGGGAGAGAGGGUUACCGUCCGAGAGAGAGAGAGAGAGAGAGAGAGAGAGAGAGAGAGAGAGCUGUUGUGCGAGAGAAGAAGAGAGGAAGAGAGAAAGGAAGAGGGAGGCCGUUCGCUGCCGUGCGUGCCAUCGAGUCCCGCCGUCAAGCCACCUCGCCCCACCAUUUGCUUGCUAUGUUUUGCUUGGAUUAGAGGCAAGUAGAGUCCAUUGAUCUACCCUUUGCUUGCUAUGUUUUGUGUGUGAUGAAUGAUGAAUUUCGGAUGUGGAUGAAGUGUGAAAUUUCGAAGUUAUUGGAGUUGUGUUCUAGCCUGGUAUUCUGUUUCUAGAAAAAUAGUCCGACCUUUGGUGAUUUCGUGAGUUUCAUGCAAUGUUCUAGUUGGAAUCUGACUUUGAAUUCUUGAUGAAAGUUGUGGAGGACUUCUUGGAGAAUAACAUUACAAAAUUUGAAAGGAAACAGACAAGUAUAGGUUGAUGAAACCAUUUUUCUUUGAUGAAGCUAGAUCAGGAAACUGUUAUGAUGCUCUAUUGGGAUUCUGUGAAUUUCGUACAAGUAUCCAGUCCGAAUUUGAUAUCAUGUUCUUGAUGAGAGUUGUAGACGACAUAUUGAGGAGCAACAUCCUAAAAUUUGAGGAUAAACAAACAAGUAAUGAUUGGGGAAAAUGAUUUUCUUUGAAAAGGAUGAAUCUGGACAGUGAACCGAGAGAUAGAAAGAGUUACAAAAAUUAUAACUUUUAAUAAAGAAGGAAUUAAACUUUAAUUUUUUCAUGAGACUUUUACCUUUAGAUCUCAGCUAUGACAUAUUAAAAUUUCAGAAUUUUUGGAGUUCAUCUAAGGGCUUAAUCGAAAUUAUUUCCGAAACUGUGCAAAAGUGGUGCUGGAAUUUCUUCUGCUGUGAUGUGUGGAUCUAUGUGAUUGAUGUGGAACUUUCUUGACACGGUGUUCUUCAUGAAAUAUCUUCCUCUGGAUCUUGUUUACAUCAUGUUAAAUUUUUAGAAUUUAUUGAGAUUUUUUACUAAUUUUCCAAGAAUUCUUACUAAAGAGGUGCAUUCUGUUUUAUCCGAAAAUUGGUUCGAGUUUCAAAAACCAAUGAAUUUCUUUAUGAAAUGUGAUAUCAUGGGUGGUUAUGUGUACUGCAUAUAUGGUGAUGUUUGGCAUAUCAUAUGAUAUCAAAAAGCUGGUUUAGACCUUUGAUAUUGUGGCAUCAAAUGCCAUGAUGAAAAUGAGACAUAUAUGUGAUUAUAUAUUGUCAUAAUAAUGAUAUUGUCGGAGGUGUGAGCCGACGAUGCCUCGGGAGUUUCGAGAUGCCUGGAGGUUUGUGCCGGAGGUCCUCGGGAGUUUCGGGAUGCCCGGAGGUUUGUGCCGAAAGCCCUGGAGGUUUGCACCGGGGGGAUUCCUCGUGAUGUUAGUUGGGAUGCGAGAUACCCGGAGGUUUGUGCCGGAGGCUCCUUGCGACGCCAGGUUGGGUGCAAGCGAUAAAUUGAGGGAUGCAAACAUUGGUCCCUGGAAGAAAAAUGAAGAGAUCCUUGUGAAAGAUAAAUAUUAAAAUUGAAUCAUGUGCAUGGGUAUAUGCAUAUGGCAUGAUGCAUGAUCUGCUUAUGAAAGUGAAUUGAUGCUAUUUGACAUUGAGAAUGCGAUCAUGAAAGCUUGAAUGGAUCUCAUGAGGAUGUAUACAUGAUGGCAUGGAUGAUAUGAAUCAUGCGUAUGAAUGUGCAUAUAGCAUGUGAUGAACCUCAUGGAAAUACAAGUAUGAUUGCGUGGUGGUAUAUGCAUGAUGGCAUGGUGAGAUAUGCAUGACUGCAUGGUGAUAUAUGCACGACCGCAUGGUGAUGUAUGCUCGAUAGCAUGAAUGAUAUGCGCUUUACUUGUGAUGUCUUGAUUGUCUUGCUUGUUGCAUUGUGUAGUUUUAUGGAUCUUUACUGCUAAGUGGUUGUACUCACCCCUUUGGGGACUAACAUUUCAGAUUGAGUGAUGCCUCUAGCACCUGUCACGUGUGGUACGUUUUAUGGAUUACCGUUUGAUGUAGAGGUCGAGUGCUCGGAGCACCCCUGCGUCGAUGUUCAUGGUUUGGUGUUUAUCAGCGUCCGUGUUUUAGUCAUGUACAAUGCGGGUUUACCUGAUGGCCUCGUAGUACAAGAGUUUCUGUCUGUCCAUGUUCGCCGAGAUGGUAGGAUGAUAGGGAUGCUGCUGCCGCCACCGGCCGAUGCACCGGGUUGGGUGUGAUAGGAGCAUGUGACUGGUGGAGGUUCACACUUUUUGGGAUGGCCCACACUAGCUGAUGGAUAGAUAUACACGUUUGAUGUAUAGUCGGGUUCUUUUUGGGUUUAGCCGAGCUUACUUAAAGUCUUGGCCCUUUUGUUAUGCCGACUUGUAAAAUCCAUCUUAGUAUGUAAAUAAAAGUGAUUUUGCCGCAAAAUGCAUAUAUAUAUGAAGGGUUGUAGUGGUGUGUAUUGCAUUGUAUCAUUUAGUUUGUGUACGAGUUUGGGAGGUGAUAAGUAUGCUUCCGUUAUAUGAACUGCGCUGGGACCGAUCUAAAAGAUGUAAACCCCCAGGAUUGAUAGACCUAAAGGUCAACCAAGAGAAUGGUAAAAGAAAUCUAUGGCAACCCUAGCGGAUCGGGGGCCGUGUCAAGGGGCGCUACAUGGGUCCCUAGAUUUAAAUACGGAACAAAACGCUGUAUUGCUCCUUGAAUUGGUAAGCAUCGAUGUGGAAAGCUAUCCCUCCUUGGAAUCAUUAUUUAAUUGUAGGUCCCUUGAUUUAAAUGUGGAACGCAAAAUUAUAUUACUCCCCAAAUUGGAGACAGUGAGGGUGAGGGGAGCAAAAAAGCUGAGACACAUGGUCAUGAGCCACUCCCAAAUAGUUUUGGAUUUUCCUAGUCUUGAAACUAUCUUGGUUGAGAAUUGUUUUGACUUGGGAUAUCUCCUCCCUAAUUUUACGGCCACAACUUUGGAGAAACUUGAGUUUCUAACAAUUAGUAAAUACAAACAGAUGAAGGAAGUGAUUCUCGAGAAUGAAGCUGGUCCAUCAGAGGCAAAAGUGAUGAAUUUCCCUUACUUAAGUAACUUAACACUUUAGGGCUCGAUAACCUGAUUAGUUUCAGUUCAGGAAGUGUCAAGAGGCAGCUAGGUGAGACAGCCAAGGAAAAUGAUAAAUCGCCACAACCGCUGUUCAGUGAGAUGGUUUGUUCUAUUCUUUAUUGUGAUCAUUCGUAUUCUCACAUUAUCAUGUUUUAUAAUGAAGAAUGUAAUAAAUUUGUCCAACUUAUCCUCCUUUCUCAUAUUAUCCUUGUGCAUGUCACAUUUCCCAAUAUGGGAGAUUUAGAAAUUGAAGGCAUUCCUUGCAAAGUGCUAUGGAACAAUCAUGUUCCCACCGAUUCUAUUGGUUGUUCCCACUGAUUCCUUUCAAAAUAUGUCUAGGUUAAAAAUUGUCCAUCCUUGAAAUUGUUGUUUGAUUUUGGGUCCCUCGAUUUAAAUACAGAACAAAAUGGAAUGUUGCUCCCUGAAUUGGUAAGCAUCGAUCUGGAAAGCUAUCCCUCCUUGGAAUCAUUACUUAAUUGUGGGUCCCUUGAUUCAAAUGUGGAACACAAAAUUAUAUUGCUCCCCAAAUUGGAGACAAUGAGGGUGAGUGGAGCAAAAAAGCUGAGACACGUUGUCAUGAGCCACUCCCAAAUAGUUUUGGGUUUUCCUAGUCUUGAAACUGUCAGGGUCGAGAAUUGCUCUGACUUGGGAUAUCUCUUCCUUAAUUAUAUGGCCACAACUUUGGAGAAACUUGAGUGGCUAACAAUUAGUAAAUGCGAACAGAUGAAGGAAGUGAUUCUCGAGAAAGAAGUUGGUCCAUCAGAGGCAAAAGUGAUGAGUUUCCCUUGCUUAAGUAACUUAACACGUCAGGGGCUCGAUAACCUGAUUAGUUUCAAUUCAAGAAGUGUCAAGAGGUAGCUAGGCGAGACAGCC